CUAGUCUCUAGCAACUGGAUAGACUUAAACUCAUAGAGUAAAUAACUAAAAUGCAAUUAAAUUGCUGCUAUGGGGGAAGUGGCUGACUGCAAGGUCAGCAGUGACUCCAGAGGAUAAAAUUUUGAGUUUAAAGAGGAGUAGAAAAGGCAGACAAAGGAAGACCAUUCCAGUGAGAAGAAACACUAUUUGCAAUAACAACUACAAAUGCUAGGAGUAGUUCCUGUGGCUGCAACGUAGGCCAUUAAUGAAGAAUGGGACCAAACAAUGAAAAGCCUCCUGUGAUAACCUAGUAGUCUUCUUGGUUCUCUUGCCAAUUUGGAAUCAUAGAGGAUUUUAAAGAAGUCCCGUCUUCAAACUCAAACCUCAUUCUGGCUUCUGCGAUCAAUCACCUUUUGGGCUUUUCCGGUUGGCCAGGCUGUCGGCUUUGACAUGAGCGCCUCUCAGCCCUGAGUGUAGACUUCAAUCUUUGUCAUCAUGCAAAUAGUGUAAGAACGGCCAGUAGAAACAUUCCAGGAGAUUGUUCAAUCUUGUGAAGGAAGACAGUUUUCAGAGUAAGAAAUGAAUUCUUCCUCUUUUUUUCUUCUUAAAAUCAGUCUUGUGUUUUCACAAAAAUUCACUCAAGUGCUUGAUAUGUAUAUGAGGGGAAAAUCAAUUCUUCUGGGAUUUACAUAUG
Neofelis nebulosa (Clouded leopard) is the source of this 673-nucleotide long non-coding RNA. RefSeq lists it as uncharacterized. The transcript has 3 exons. The record is from RefSeq and is a predicted model, not a curated record. Lineage: Eukaryota; Metazoa; Chordata; Mammalia; Carnivora; Felidae.